This 344-nucleotide unclassified non-coding RNA is filed under the name Hevea brasiliensis (rubber tree). Lineage: Eukaryota; Viridiplantae; Streptophyta; Magnoliopsida; Malpighiales; Euphorbiaceae. The record is from RNAcentral.
AGCGUGAAGGUCAAGCGCCUGUUCUUCUUCUUCGCCGCGCGUCAUCACCACGCUUGGACCAAGCGGCUUGACCGGAAUCAGGUGAACCUCGGCACCGGCAAGCGCAUGCUGGUCAAAGGUGGAAGGCUAGACCCAGCAACGCAGAUCACCGUGCCGGAGGAUUUGGAUGGCGUUCAGUGACAUUUACCGCAAGCAGGUCAGCUUGCUUGUGCGCACGCUGCCUCAUGUCGCGGAAGAACCGUGCUUUGCCCUGAAAGGUGGCACGGCGAUCAAUCUGUUCAUCCGCGACAUGCCGCGCUUGUCGGUCGAUAUUGAUUUGACCUAUCUGCCGGUCGAGCCGCGCG